AUAAAUACAAAAAAUCAGAUUUCUCAAUAAGGAAACCCGAAAAUUUCCAGAUUUUUCUCCUCCUCGCUGCCUUGGCUUCACGGCGUCGCCACGACUUCAUCCGGCCACCUAUGGCCAUGAAAUUGAUAUCAAUCUCUUCGCCUUGAAACCAGCUUUCCAUUCAUAUAUGUCUUGCAUCCUAUCAUUCACCAUAGACAACGAAUCGAAGCAAAGAAGGUCAGACCAUUUUUCAUGCAUUUCUUCAAAUUCCAGCCAACUCCGGCAAAGGUAGGAGGGGAGACCAACUGGGCUUUGUUCGCCUUGCCAUGCUCUAUAAACUCACCAAGUUUCACAUCUCGAUUCAACCCGAGGAAGACGAAUUUCAGAUUUGAGCGAUUUUGGGCGAUUUCGGCCUCUUUCUUCUUGAGGUGAUUGGCGGAUUGAUUUGGCGGACGAUUCGUAAAAUCGUUGUUGAGCUGUUUAGAAGACGCAACGGGAAUUAGAGCGGGUAUUCCUACAGGACAGGAGAACCAGGACGGUGAUCGUGCGGUUAGAGCAAUUGUUAGAGUUUUACAGCAAUUGUAAGUUGUGAGGUGUGUUAUGCUCAUUUGAGCUUUACAAUAUUGCUUGUGAGAGUGAAUUGUAAUAAUGAACUCGAAGUUUCGAGAUUUGGAUUUUGUAAUUGUAAUUAUUCAUGUUUCGGAUUUGAAUUUACUAUUCAAAAUUCGGGGCGUGACAGUUUGGUAUCAGAGCGUAAGGUGCAUAUUUGGUGAUGUGUCAAUACCUUCCGAGUGAUGGCCCGUCUGCAGCGGAUCCCCAUCGUGUGCUCUUUGGUAUUGGCUAAGUCAUUGGGUAUGCGUGAGUGUUGGGAGUUGUUUAGGCCGCUAGGUCGUUUAGGGAACGUGAAUACAUUCCCUAUAGUAUUGACUUGGUUAAUAUGAAUUUGUAUUUGACUUAUACUGUGUUUUAAGUGUUAUACAAGUAUUAGCCAAGCAUACUAUACUCCUUAGGUGAUGGAUAUUCGAAGGGGUUGUACUUAGAACCUUACAGUUGUCUUGUAGGUUCGUAUGAGAAUAAGUUCAGUGGCCGCGAGUUACAAUCCUUGAGGAAUAGGAACCUCUUGAUUCAACUCUGUUAAGUCAACGAGGAUUGUUUUAUGGAAAUGAGGUUCUUUUGAUUGUUGAAGUGUUUGGUUGAAGGCAUGGUCUGGACCUAUGCUCGUCUGUAAUGUGGAUACGAGUAUUAAUCGAUGGUAAUUUUGCCUUUUUAAGUUGGAUAUACUAAUGUUCUUGAAUAGAUUCUUGACUCAUGUGGAGUUGUGAGUAGUGUUGCGGUUAGGGAAGGAAUUAUUGCGGUUACUUCUUCCUUGUGCUUGUAAGUUGUUAAGCAGGGUUUAAGGUGCGAGACAAGAAUUUUAUUUUGUGCUCGAUGGUUAGAGAGGAGAGACCAUUGUUUUGGGUUGUCGUUGAGUACUAUAAUUCCUUCAGAAUCAAGAUUGUUGGUAGAAUUAGAAUUAGUAGUAGUUUUGGUGAUUCUGAAUUUGAAUUGAGUUCGCGAGAUGUGUCUUAUAUACGUGGUUGAUGUUGCUUGCAUCAUUUUGGAACGAUACGUUACGAUUCACAAGGAAAACUGGAUUUGAAAUUUAUUCAUUUGAACACCAUGGGUUGAUGACCUGACCGUGACUUGUGAAUAUAGUUUUGUUCAAGUGAAUGAAAUUGAAUUUUGUGGCCUUUGUGUGGUGAACUAGUUUUCUUAAGUUUUGGAUCGUAGUAUGGAGAUGGGCUGCAGUGAAUUUGAAGUUGUUGUGUGUUUUAAGUUUAAGUAGGCGGGACACUUAAAGUUUUGCAAUGGAGUUGAUUUUGGUGUAAUUAAUUGGGAGAGUUAGAAUCAGUUCUUGUGAAUGAUGUUGGAUGAGAGUGUGUGCCUUUGGUGAUUGAUUUUAGGUGUUAUAGUUAAACGCAAUUUCGGAUAUUGAUUUUAGUGAUUUUGUUAGGUAUCCAUAGUGGUUCAAGUGAAUUACUAUGUGAUAUGGAGUUUGAUUUGAUUUCUGAAUCGCUAAAUGUUAGGGAUUGAAUUGUGGUGAGUUUUUGUUGAAGCAAUUGAUAGAUGGAAUUAUCGAGAUUCUAUAAGAGUUGUAAGAGUAACUCUAAAAACGUGGGUUUUUCCUAGCUAACUCAGGAUGUGUUUAGCUUUAUAAAUCCCUAAUCCUAUCGAUGAAAUUGUUGUGUUUGGUUUGACUCAGAUGAUACUAGCUA
This is a long non-coding RNA of Rosa rugosa (rugosa rose), 2234 nucleotides long. RefSeq lists it as uncharacterized. The record is from RefSeq and is a predicted model, not a curated record. Lineage: Eukaryota; Viridiplantae; Streptophyta; Magnoliopsida; Rosales; Rosaceae. The transcript is spliced from 3 exons.